Molecule: ribosomal RNA, 460 nt
Filed under: uncultured bacterium
Lineage: Bacteria
Description: partial 16S ribosomal RNA
Rfam family: Bacterial small subunit ribosomal RNA
Source: RNAcentral
CCUACGGGCGGCAGCAGUGAGGAAUAUUGGUCAAUGGACGAGAGUCUGAACCAGCCAAGUAGCGUGAAGGAUGACUGCCCUAUGGGUUGUAAACUUCUUUUAUAUGGGAAUAAAAUGUUCCACGUGUGGGAUUUUGUAUGUACCAUAUGAAUAAGGAUCGGCUAACUCCGUGCCAGCAGCCGCGGUAAUACGGAGGAUCCGAGCGUUAUCCGGAUUUAUUGGGUUUAAAGGGAGCGUAGAUGGAUUGUUAAGUCAGUUGUGAAAGUUUGCGGCUCAACCGUAAAAUUGCAGUUGAAACUGGCAGUCUUGAGUACAGUAGAGGUGGGCGGAAUUCGUGGUGUAGCGGUGAAAGGCUUAGAUAUCACGAAGAACUCCGAUUGCGAAGGCAGCUCACUGGACUGCAACUGACACUGAGGCUCGAAAGUGUGGGUAUCAAACAGGAUUAGAUACCCUGGUAGUC